GUUUACAGCUGACUGUUGUCGCUGUCGUGGCUGCUGCCGUCUGGGGGGGCCAGGCUGAGCGUCUGCGGAGCUUUCGUUCAGCGUGUCGUCGCCGCUACUUCUACUACGACUGCGGUUGUAGUGUUCUCUCCCCGUGUGAAGCCCCAACCGAACUUCACUUGGCUGGUGUUCAGCGAGAGGAGUUCUCCUCUGGAGUUUCUCCUUGUAUCGCAUUUCGCCACUUUCGCCGAGGAGCAGUAUGACACGCGGAAACCAGCGCGAACUUGCCCGCGCCAAGAAUGCGAAGAAGCAGCAGGAGCUGACGAAAAAAAAAGGUGCCAAUGACAAGGACGGCAACAGAGGUCUAAGCCUUGAAGAACGUCGUCACAGGUAA
This is a long non-coding RNA of Rhipicephalus sanguineus (brown dog tick), 373 nucleotides long. RefSeq lists it as uncharacterized. The transcript is spliced from 2 exons. Lineage: Eukaryota; Metazoa; Arthropoda; Arachnida; Ixodida; Ixodidae. The record is from RefSeq and is a predicted model, not a curated record.